RNAcentral lists this ribosomal RNA (818 nucleotides) under uncultured Verrucomicrobiota bacterium. Its description in RNAcentral is "bacterial SSU rRNA". It matches the Rfam family "Bacterial small subunit ribosomal RNA", at positions 74 to 868 of the family's 1533-position model. The record is from RNAcentral. Lineage: Bacteria; Pseudomonadati; Verrucomicrobiota.
GGGUAGCAAUAUCUUGUGGUCGGAGCGGCGCAAGGGUGCGUAACACGUGGGUAAUCUGCCAUGAAGUUUGGAAUAACUUGCUGAAAGGCGAGCUAAUGCCGGAUGUGACAAUUAGGAGGCAUCUUCCGAUUGUCAAAGCUGGGGACCGUAAGGCCUGGCGCUUCAUGAUGAGCCCGCGGCCUAUCAGCUAGUUGGUAAGGUAACGGCUUACCAAGGCUAAGACGGGUAGCUGGUCUGAGAGGACGACCAGCCACACUGGAACUGAGACACGGUCCAGACACCUACGGGUGGCAGCAGUCGAGAAUUUUUCACAAUGGGCGCAAGCCUGAUGGAGCGACGCCGCGUGGGGGAUGAAUGGCUUCGGCCCGUAAACCCCUGUCAUUUGCGAACAAGUUGGUUCAAUUAACACCUGAACCAUUGAUAGUAGCGAAAGAGGAAGGGACGGCUAACUCUGUGCCAGCAGCCGCGGUAAUACAGAGGUCCCAAGCGUUGUUCGGAUUCACUGGGCGUAAAGGGUGCGUAGGUGGUGAGGUAAGUCGGAUGUGAAAGCUCGGAGCUCAACUCCGAAAUGGCAUUGGAAACUACCUUGCUCGAGGGUUGGAGGGGGGACUGGAAUGCUUGGUGUAGCAGUGAAAUGCGUAGAUAUCAAGCGGAACACCAGUGGCGAAGGCGAGUCCCUGGACAACUCCUGACACUGAGGCACGAAAGCUAGGGGAGCAAACAGGAUUAGAUACCCUGGUAGUCCUAGCCGUAAACGGUGCACGUUUGCUGUAAAAGGAAUCGACCCCUUUUGUGGCGUAGCCAACGCGUUAAACGUG